RNAcentral lists this ribosomal RNA (460 nucleotides) under uncultured bacterium. RNAcentral's name for it is "partial 16S ribosomal RNA". It matches the Rfam family "Bacterial small subunit ribosomal RNA", at positions 338 to 795 of the family's 1533-position model. The record is from RNAcentral.
CCUACGGGGGGCAGCAGUGAGGAAUAUUGGUCAAUGGACGAGAGUCUGAACCAGCCAAGUAGCGUGAGGGAUGACUGCCCUAUGGGUUGUAAACUUCUUUUAUAUGGGAAUAAAAUGUUCCACGUGUGGGCUUUUGUAUGUACCAUAUGAAUAAGGAUCGGCUAACUCCGUGCCAGCAGCCGCGGUAAUACGGAGGGGGCAAGCGUUGUUCGGAAUUACUGGGCGUAAAGGGAGUGUAGGCGGUUUAGUAAGAUAGUGGUCAAAUCCCCGGGCGUAACUUGGGAAGUGCCAUUAUAACUAGUAGACUAGAAUUGCAGAGAGGAUAGCGGAAUACCCAGUGUAGAGGUGAAAUGCGUAGAUAUUGGGUAGAACACCAGUGGCGAAGGCGACUAUCUGGCUGUACAUUGACGCUGAGGCUCGAAAGCAUGGGGAUCAAACAGGAUUAGAUACCCGUGUAGUC